AGCAGCCGCGGUAAUUCCAGCUCCAAUAGCGUAUAUUAAAGUUGUUGCAGUUAAAAAGCUCGUAGUUGAAUUUCGGGGUUAGUAGGCUGGUCGUGCCACAGGUAUGCACUGGUCUUACUGACUUCUCCUUUCUGAAGAACUGUAAUGCCAUUAAUUUGGUGUUGCAGGGAAACAGGACUGUUACUUUGAAAAAAUUAGAGUGUUUAAAGCAGGCUAACGCUUGAAUACAUUAGCAUGGAAUAAUGAAAUAGGACGUUCGAUCCUAUUUUGUUGGUUUCUAGGAUUGACGUAAUGAUUAAUAGGGAUAGUUGGGGGCAUUAGUAUUCAAUUGUCAGAGGUGAAAUUCUUGGAUUUAUUGAAGACUAACUACUGCGAAAGCAUUUGCCAAGGAUGUUUUCAUUAACCAAGAACGAAAGUUAGGGGAUCGAAGACGAUCAGAUACCGUCGUAGUCUUAACCAUAAACUAUGCCGACUAGGGAUCGGAUGAUGUUAAUUUUUAAUGACUCAUUCGGCGCCUUAC
This 520-nucleotide ribosomal RNA is filed under the name uncultured Glomus. Its description in RNAcentral is "SSU rRNA". It matches the Rfam family "Eukaryotic small subunit ribosomal RNA", at positions 569 to 1091 of the family's 1831-position model. The record is from RNAcentral. Lineage: Eukaryota; Fungi; Glomeromycota; Glomeromycetes; Glomerales; Glomeraceae.